Molecule: small nucleolar RNA, 103 nt
Organism: Rattus norvegicus (Norway rat)
Lineage: Eukaryota; Metazoa; Chordata; Mammalia; Rodentia; Muridae
Product: small nucleolar RNA SNORA17
Source: Ensembl
AUUGUUAAGUGUGGCUAUGUCAGUAGAUGGCAGAGAGGAGAGGCCAUGGUCUGUGCUCAGUGUUCUGACUUGUGAAUAUCUGAAUGAUUAGUAGCCUAACAUU